GCGCUCGCUUUGGCAGCACAUAUACUAAAAUUGGAAUGAUACAGAAAAGGUUAGCAUGGCCCCUGUGCAAGGAUGACAGGCAAAUUCAUGAAGUGUUCCAUAUU
Molecule: small nuclear RNA, 104 nt
Filed under: Cervus elaphus hippelaphus
Lineage: Eukaryota; Metazoa; Chordata; Mammalia; Artiodactyla; Cervidae
Source: RNAcentral